Molecule: unclassified non-coding RNA, 391 nt
Filed under: soil metagenome
Description: partial contains 5.8S ribosomal RNA, internal transcribed spacer 2, and large subunit ribosomal RNA
Rfam family: 5.8S ribosomal RNA (bases 1-122)
Source: RNAcentral
GAUGAAGAACGUAGUGAAAUGCGAUACUUGGUGUGAAUUGCAGAAUCCCGUGAACCAUCGAGUCUUUGAACGCAAGUUGCGCCCGAAGCCACUAGGCCGAGGGCACGCCUGCCUGGGCGUCACACGCCGUUGCCCCCCCAUCUACUCCUUCGGGAUUGCGGGGGGGCGGAUGAUGGCCUCCCGUGCGCCUAGCCGCGCGGUUGGCAUAAAUACCAAGUCCUCGGCGACGCACGCCACAACAAUCGGUGGUUGCGAAACCUCGGUUGCCCGUCGUGUGCGUUCGUCGCGCAUCGAGGGCUCGAAAAAAUGCUCGGCUCCGGCUGGGCUUUCAACGCGACCCCAGGUCAGGCGGGGUUACCCGCUGAAUUUAAGCAUAUCAAUAAGCGGAGGA